AUUGAACGCUGGCGGCAGGCCUAACACAUGCAAGUCGAGCGGAUGAAGGGAGCUUGCUCCUGGAUUCAGCGGCGGACGGGUGAGUAAUGCCUAGGAAUCUGCCUGGUAGUGGGGGAUAACGUCCGGAAACGGGCGCUAAUACCGCAUACGUCCUGAGGGAGAAAGUGGGGGAUCCUCGGACCUCACGCUAUCAGAUGAGCCUAGGUCGGAUUAGCUAGUUGGUGGGGUAAAGGCCUACCAAGGCGACGAUCCGUAACUGGUCUGAGAGGAUGAUCAGUCACACUGGAACUGAGACACGGUCCAGACUCCUACGGGAGGCGGCAGUGGGGAAUAUUGGACAAUGGGCGAAAGCCUGAUCCAGCCAUGCCGCGUGUGUGAAGAAGGUCUUCGGAUUGUAAAGCACUUUAAGUUGGGAGGAAGGGCAGUAAGUUAAUACCUUGCUGUUUUGACGUCACCAACAGAAUAAGCACCGGCUAACUUCGUG
This 484-nucleotide ribosomal RNA is filed under the name uncultured bacterium. RNAcentral describes it as "partial 16S ribosomal RNA". It matches the Rfam family "Bacterial small subunit ribosomal RNA", at positions 30 to 507 of the family's 1533-position model. The record is from RNAcentral.